Molecule: ribosomal RNA, 497 nt
Filed under: uncultured bacterium
Lineage: Bacteria
Description: partial 16S ribosomal RNA
Rfam family: Bacterial small subunit ribosomal RNA
Source: RNAcentral
GAUGAACGCUGGCGGCGUGCCUAAUACAUGCCAGUCGAGCGAACGGACGAGAAGCUUGCUUCUCUGAUGUUAGCGGCGGACGGGUGAGUAACACGUGGAUAACCUACCUAUAAGACUGGGAUAACUUCGGGAAACCGGAGCUAAUACCGGAUAAUAUUUUGAACCGCAUGGUUCAAAAGUGAAAGACGGUCUUGCUGUCACUUAUAGAUGGAUCCGCGCUGCAUUAGCUAGUUGGUAAGGUAACGGCUUACCAAGGCAACGAUGCAUAGCCGACCUGAGAGGGUGAUCGGCCACACUGGAACUGAGACACGGUCCAGACUCCUACGGGAGGCAGCAGUAGGGAAUCUUCCGCAAUGGGCGAAAGCCUGACGGAGCAACGCCGCGUGAGUGAUGAAGGUCUUCGGAUCGUAAAACUCUAUUAUUAGGGAAGAACAUAUGUGUAAGUAACUGUGCACAUCUUGACGGUACCUAAUCAGAAAGCCACGGCUAACUACGUG